GGGUAUAGCUCAGCUGGGAGAGCGCUUGCAUGGCAUGCAAGAGGUCAGCGGUUCGAUCCCGCUUACCU
Molecule: transfer RNA, 68 nt
Filed under: Burkholderia mallei JHU
Lineage: Bacteria; Pseudomonadati; Pseudomonadota; Betaproteobacteria; Burkholderiales; Burkholderiaceae
Also listed under: 1 other name
Description: tRNA-Ala
Rfam family: tRNA
About the family: Transfer RNA (tRNA) molecules are approximately 80 nucleotides in length.
Source: RNAcentral